Molecule: long non-coding RNA, 202 nt
Filed under: Elaeis guineensis (African oil palm)
Lineage: Eukaryota; Viridiplantae; Streptophyta; Magnoliopsida; Arecales; Arecaceae
Description: long non-coding RNA (EGUI_LNC069927)
Source: RNAcentral
GUGGGGGGUCGGCCGGUGAUGGACUUCGGAUGGCAUUGGGGAGGUUCGGCAGACAUCGGAGGUGAUCGAUCGUUGUGGAAAUCCAGCUACUGGAGCCUGAUCAUCGUGGAAGCUCAUCCAAUAUCCAACCGCUAUAGAAGUUCGAUCGAAGUCUGGUUCUUGUAGAAGGCUGAAAGAAGACCGCUUAUUGUAGAAGCUCGGU